Molecule: transfer RNA, 321 nt
Filed under: uncultured archaeon
Lineage: Archaea
Description: 16S-23S ribosomal RNA intergenic spacer
Rfam family: tRNA (bases 126-198)
Source: RNAcentral
AAAGUUAUUGGUAUGCCUAGUAAGCAUGCCUCUCCCGAAAACCAGUUGGAAGCUGAAAAUGUCGACCGAGACCAAAAAGAGAAACUAGCCAGCUAUUAAUGAUUCUUAGCUGGGCACUAAAACCCGGGCUUGUAGCUCAGCUGGUAGAGCGCCGCCUUUGCAAGGCGGAGGCCCUGGGUUCGAAUCCCAGCAAGUCCAAUUCACAUGCACACAUUGAGGCAGACUCGAUGUGGAAGGGCAGAGGUCCGUUAUUGACAGGCGGUCCUGUGAAGCCGUGCACAAGCUUUGCGACCAGACGCUCACUGAGUUUAGUGGGGCAUA